GGGGGUGACUUGGUUUCGACUGGAAUAGUCGGGGCUAUGUGCAUGUCGGACUGGGCAAUUCCGUUACGCGGCCCACUCGCGAAUAAACGCAAACAAUACAGAUUACCGUCCAGCUUACGCUCACGCAGCGUAGGUUAACCUAAACUUUGGACUGCUUCGCCCUUGAGUGUCAUCUUAGAGGGACUAUGAAGUAUCACAUCUGAUGACUAUGCGCUGUGGAAGCUAUGCCACAGUGUGAGAAUCUUAGCUGGUCUUGUAAAGCUUGGGCUGUUGUGCAAAGCAAGAUGAGAAUUAACAAUAGCAUCUAAGCAUGUAGAGUCAUAGUUCUAUCUAUUUUAGGACACGGGUUCAAUUCCCGUCGCCUCCACCA
RNAcentral lists this transfer-messenger RNA (370 nucleotides) under Campylobacterota bacterium. RNAcentral's name for it is "Epsilonproteobacteria bacterium (hydrothermal vent metagenome) transfer-messenger RNA". It matches the Rfam family "transfer-messenger RNA". From Rfam's summary of the family: Bacterial tmRNA, also known as 10Sa RNA or SsrA, is named for its dual tRNA and mRNA-like properties. Its role is to liberate the mRNA from a stalled ribosome. Lineage: Bacteria; Pseudomonadati; Campylobacterota. The record is from RNAcentral.